This 683-nucleotide ribosomal RNA is filed under the name uncultured fungus. RNAcentral's name for it is "eukaryotic LSU rRNA". It matches the Rfam family "Eukaryotic large subunit ribosomal RNA", at positions 40 to 647 of the family's 3401-position model. Lineage: Eukaryota; Fungi. The record is from RNAcentral.
AUAUCAAUAAGCGGAGGAAAAGAAACUAACAAGGAUUCCCCUAGUAACGGCGAGUGAAGCGGGAAUAGCUCAAAUUUGAAAUCUCACUAUUUUAUAGUGCGAAUUGUAGUUUAGAGAAAUGUUUUCAAAGUUUAUGACUAGUACAAGUUCUUUGGAACAAGAUAUCAUAGAGGGUGACGAUCCCGUCUUUGACUAGUUUAUAAAUUUUAUAUGAUACAUUUUCUAAGAGUCGGUUUGUUUGGGAAUGCAGACCAAAAUGGGUGGUAAAUACCAUCUAAAGCUAAAUAUUGGCGAGAGACCGAUAGCGAACAAGUACCGUGAGGGAAAGAUGAAAAGAACUUUGAAAAGAGAGUUAAAUAGUACGUGAAAUUGUCAAAAGGGAAGCGUUUGAAACCAGUAUUGUUUAUAAUAAUUCAAUUAUACCCUAGGUAUAAUGUAUUUUAUUAUGAACAAGUCAACAUCAGUUUGAUUUGUUAUAAAAAGUUAUAGAAAUGUAACCCUCUUUUGGGCCUUAUAGUUUAUAAUUAUAUAAUGAAUUGGACUGAGGAAUGCAGUAUUAUUUAGAGACCCUUAUCGCCUAGGAAAUAAGUUGUAAGGAUUACUUGUAAAUCUUAUAAUAUUAUGAAUAGUACGGUUUGGUAUCAUACCAAUACUUUGGAUGUUGACGAAAUGGUUUUAAGCGA